CUCAUUUUUCUACUGCUCGUGGUAAGUGGCUUCGUGGUCUUUAUAGCUGUUACUCUUUUGUACUUUGUCUUUUUCUUUUAUUUUCUUUUGAGCGAUUGUGCGAACAUAGCAUAGCACGCACUAUGCCUUCUGUGUUGUAGCUGCCUGGCCAGGGCGACUGGCGGAUAAGGUCUUGUGCGUGGCCUCGAGGCUUAAAAGUAGCAGUGGGGCUUUGUGAAGGACAAAAUGGCGAUGGCGGGCCGUGUAGGUCCCCCUUCCUAUGAUGAGGACCUUUUCACAGACCUGUACUGAGCUCCGUGAGGAUAAAUAACUCUGAGGAGAUGGGCCCUGCAAGCCUCUUGCUUAGCCGUCUGUUCAGAAAAUAGCGUUUUCGAAAUGCCCUGAGUUGACCUAAUGUCUUAUUGGGCUCCUGUCUGCAGGAUUUACGCGCACGUUGGAACCGAAGAGAGCUCUGUUGUUGCAAUGUUCAGCCCACAAGAGCUUACUGGUGAAGGAAUGGGACAAGACCCAUCUUUAUGCAAAGCCAGCGUUACAGUAAUGUUCCAGGUAGGUGUACAUGGUUUAUGCUCUUACAGAGGAGACCUUGUAGAUAACCACUCCAUGAUGAACACAAAAUGACAAGCAUAUGGCUGAACUUUCAAGUGAUGUCAUCUUACUACUGAGAAGUGAGAGAGAGGUCUUAAGGGGUCUUUGAAUGACUAUUUUUAGGUACAUAAAAUGCUUUCCUCUGUUGUCUACAGCAUCUCAUAAUCUAUCCUGGGGAAUUCAGCUGCCUCCCAGGGUGAAUACAGGUAAUUAUCCAAAUUGGUGUAUGUCAUCUUUGUAAAUGUUCAAGAAAACAAGUGGCCGGCGGAACAAUGUUUUUUGGCGCCUUCCAUCUUGUUCCUCUUGAAAUGAUUUUCUGGGGAGGGAGAUCGCAACCCGGUACUACAGUUCUUGUAAGGGUGUGCUGUUACCCUCAUCCAUAUAUCGAUCACGUUACUGUCAGAUGAUUUGA
RNAcentral lists this long non-coding RNA (997 nucleotides) under Homo sapiens (human). RNAcentral describes it as "non-protein coding SNHG1:40". The stretch from base 596 to 667 matches the Rfam family "Small nucleolar RNA SNORD27". The record is from RNAcentral. Lineage: Eukaryota; Metazoa; Chordata; Mammalia; Primates; Hominidae.